This 71-nucleotide transfer RNA is filed under the name Copelatus sp. MJTNT-2012. RNAcentral's name for it is "tRNA-Ala". Lineage: Eukaryota; Metazoa; Arthropoda; Insecta; Coleoptera; Dytiscidae. The record is from RNAcentral.
GGGAUUAUAGUUAACUAUAACAUUUAGUUUGCAUCUAAAAAGUAUUGAAAAUUUAAUUUCAAUUUUUCUCA